AACGAACGCUGGCGGCAUGCCUAACACAUGCAAGUCGAACGAGACCUUCGGGUCUAGUGGCGCACGGGUGCGUAACGCGUGGGAACCUGCCCUUAGGUUCGGAAUAACUCUCCGAAAGGGGUGCUAAUACCGGAUAAUGUCUUCGGAUCAAAGAUUUAUCGCCUUUGGAUGGGCCCGCGUUGGUUUAGCUAGUUGGUAGGGUAAAAGCCUACCAAGGCGACGAUCCAUAGCUGGUCUGAGAGGAUGAUCAGCCACACUGGGACUGAGACACGGCCCAGACUCCUACGGGAGGCAGCAGUGGGGAAUAUUGGACAAUGGGCGAAAGCCUGAUCCAGCAAUGCCGCGUGAGUGAUGAAGGCCUUAGGGUUGUAAAGCUCUUUUACCCGGGAUGAUAAUGACAGUACCGGGAGAAUAAGCUCCGGCUAACUCCGUG
This 433-nucleotide ribosomal RNA is filed under the name uncultured bacterium. RNAcentral's name for it is "partial 16S ribosomal RNA". It matches the Rfam family "Bacterial small subunit ribosomal RNA", at positions 29 to 507 of the family's 1533-position model. The record is from RNAcentral.